RNAcentral lists this unclassified non-coding RNA (453 nucleotides) under Hevea brasiliensis (rubber tree). The record is from RNAcentral. Lineage: Eukaryota; Viridiplantae; Streptophyta; Magnoliopsida; Malpighiales; Euphorbiaceae.
GUUGAGUUGAGUUUUAUGAUUUUUGCCCUAUGGAUGCAAUGCUUGUCUCAAACUGCUUGUGAUUCAAUAUAGAGCCUUAGCUGAGUCCAUUAGGGUCAAAAAGCAUAUGAUUAUCAAGAUAAGGCUGCCUUUAUCAAGUCUUAAUAGUGUAUAUAACAUUGUUGAUGAAAUAUGGGAAUCUACAUAGCUGAGAAAAUAGGCAAGUUUUAUCUGGGGUGAUAAUACAGUUAAGAGAUUUAAGGUCUUGUUUGCUUGGUUUUAUAUAGAUUGAUUUCAUCUAGAAAAUGCUGCAGUUGGAUAUUGAAAUGAUGUGGUAAACUAAACGUGAUUGUUUUCUUCUUGCUUGUGUUUGGGGUGCCUAGAUUAUGUUUUAAAUUGCAAUUUUACAGUACAUGUCAAAUGUAAUACUCAAACUAGAAUUUAUAAUUUUGCAGCUGGCAACCCACAAAAAUG